This 72-nucleotide transfer RNA is filed under the name Bos taurus (domestic cattle). It matches the Rfam family "tRNA". Rfam says of the family: Transfer RNA (tRNA) molecules are approximately 80 nucleotides in length. The record is from Rfam by way of RNAcentral. Lineage: Eukaryota; Metazoa; Chordata; Mammalia; Artiodactyla; Bovidae. RNAcentral also lists the same sequence under 6 other names.
UCCCUGGUGGCUCAGAUGAUAAAGAAUCUGCCUGCAAUGCAGAAGACCCAGGUUUGAUCCCUGGAUUGGGAA